RNAcentral lists this ribosomal RNA (253 nucleotides) under uncultured bacterium. RNAcentral's name for it is "partial 16S ribosomal RNA". It matches the Rfam family "Bacterial small subunit ribosomal RNA", at positions 524 to 776 of the family's 1533-position model. The record is from RNAcentral.
UACGUAGGGUGCGAGCGUUGUCCGGAAUUACUGGGCGUAAAGAGCUCGUAGGUGGUUUGUCGCGUUGUUCGUGAAAACCGGGGGCUUAACCCUCGGCGUGCGGGCGAUACGGGCAGACUGGAGUACUGCAGGGGAGACUGGAAUUCCUGGUGUAGCGGUGAAAUGCGCAGAUAUCAGGAGGAACACCGGUGGCGAAGGCGGGUCUCUGGGCCGAUACUGACGCUGAGGAGCGAAAGCGUGGGGAGCGAACAGG